AUGCCCACGCCCUCGCAAUCCAGGCUGCUGCCACUGACAGUCCAGCUUGUACUCAUUCUUGCAGGCGCAGCAGCCAUGGCCGGGGUUGAACUAGAUGAGCAGCUGCCGAUCACACGUCCGGGCUGCCCUGACAAGUGCGGCAACAUGAGCAUCCCGUUCCCCUUCGGCCUGAUGCCCGGCUGCUUCCGCGAGGGCUUCCAGGUCACCUGCGACCACUCCGUCGACCCCCCUCGAGCGUUCCUCGCCGACACCGAUACCAACCGCAUCACGGUCACAGACAGCGACGCCUCGGCGGCCUCCGACGCCGCCGCCUAUCUGGGGUACAACACCUCGUAUUUUCCAGUGGAGCUCGUGGACAUGUCAGCCGACAGGAGCCAGGCGCGGGCGUACGGCCCCAUCACGUCCGGCUGCAGCACCAACAGCACCCAGUACAGGUUCCAAACCCAGGCCAUGACGCUCGGCAUCACGGAGGGGCCGUUCGCCGUGUCGCAGUCUCGCAGACGCUCAACGUCGUCGUCGGCGUGGGCUGGAGGGUCGACGUCGUCAUGGACGGCUCGACCACGCCCGUCUGCCGCACUGGCACGGAGCGGGAGCUCGCGGCGAGGAACGGGUCGUGCGCGGGGCAGGGCUGCUGCGAGGCCGCCCUGCCCCCGGUGCCGGAGUACGGCAGCGUCGAGCCGGGGCUCGUGGUCCCGAACGAGAACGCCCUGUGGAGGUCCAGCCCGUGCUCCUACGCCAUGGUGGUCGAGAAGUCGCGCUACGUCUUCUCCACGCCGGACCUGUACGGCGACACGCUGCUGAUGGAGACGUUCCCCGUGGUGCUCGACUUCGCCAUCGUCGGGAACGCCUCGUGCCCGGCGAAAGGCCAGCGGCCACCUCCGGAUUACGCGUGCGCCAGCAGCAACAGCUACUGUGUCAACGCCACAGUCGGCCUCUCGGGUUAUGCACUCAGCUACGUGUGCAAAUGCUCGGAGCACUACGAGGGCAACCCGUACAUCGCCGAUGGAUGCCGAGACAUCGAUGAGUGCAAGUUCCCCGAUCUAUACUACUGCUCGAGCAAAGGCAUAUGCAAGAACAGGUUGGGAGGAUAUGAUUGUCCAUGCAAGCCAGGAAUGAGAGGCGAUGGGAAAUUAGGACAGUGUGUUGAGAAAUUUCCCCUGGUAGCCAAGGCGAUUGUGGGUAUCAUUGGUGGUAUUUCUAUCAUAGCAGUUAUAUCAUUUCUAGUUCUUCUCCGCAAAGAGAGAAGGAAGACCAGGGAGUUCUAUGAAAAGAAUGGUGGACCUACACUAGAGAGAGCAAAAAAUAUUAAAAUUUUCAAAAAGGAGGAGCUCGUGCCAAUUUUAAAGGAAAGCAAUCUUAUUGGAAGAGGUGGCUUCGGUGUAGUUUACAAGGGCACUCUUGGUAAAGAACAAGUUGCAGUGAAGCAACCGAUUAGUGGUAGUCUGCUGGAAAAUGACCAAUUUGCAAAUGAAGUCAUCAUCCAAUCUCAAGUCAUCCACAAGAAUAUUGUUAGGCUCAUAGGUUGUUGCCUCGAGGUUGGUACCCCAUUGCUAGUAUACGAAUUUCUCUCUGGUGGUAGCCUGGAUGACAUUCUUCACAGCAAAGACAAGAAGCCUCUAAACUUGGAUAUACGUUUAAGUAUUGCUGUAGAAUCAGCAGAUGGUCUUGCUUACAUGCUUUCAAAAACAAACACCAAAAUCCUACACGGUGAUGUUAAACCAGCAAAUAUACUUUUGGAUGAUAAGUUUGUCCCCAAGAUCUCGGACUUUGGCAUAUCAAGGUUGAUUGCGGGAGACAAAGAACACACCGGAAAAGUCAUCGGUGACAUGAGCUAUAUGAAUCCAAUAUAUCUACGGUCAGGCCUGCUAACUGAAAAGAGUGAUGUCUAUAGCUUCGGAGUGGUGUUGUUGGAGCUUAUUAGCAGGAAGAAGGCCACACAUUCUGACAAUAAUAACUUAGUAAAGAGCUUCCUCGAAGUUCACAACAACGAGAACAGAAUAACCGAGUUGUUUGACAAUGAAAUUGCGGCAGCAGAAGACUUGGAGCUUCUUCAAAAUCUGGCAGGGAUGGCAGUCGAGUGUCUCAACCUUGACGUGGAACAAAGACCAGCGAUGACAGAUAUAGCACACCGCCUUCUAAUACUGAACAAGUCUCGUAGAUCGUCAGUUCUUGGACGCUGA
This 2180-nucleotide ribosomal RNA is filed under the name Triticum aestivum (bread wheat). RNAcentral's name for it is "partial small subunit ribosomal RNA". The record is from RNAcentral. Lineage: Eukaryota; Viridiplantae; Streptophyta; Magnoliopsida; Poales; Poaceae.